GGAGGGUGCAAGCGUUAAUCGGAAUUACUGGGCGUAAAGCGCACGCAGGCGGUUUGUUAAGUCAGAUGUGAAAUCCCCGGGCUCAACCUGGGAACUGCAUCUGAUACUGGCAAGCUUGAGUCUCGUAGAGGGGGGUAGAAUUCCAGGUGUAGCGGUGAAAUGCGUAGAGAUCUGGAGGAAUACCGGUGGCGAAGGCGGCCCCCUGGACGAAGACUGACGCUCAGGUGCGAAAGCGUGGGGAGCAAACAGGAUUAGAUACCCUGGUAGUCCACGCCGUAAACGAUGUCGACUUGGAGGUUGUGCCCUUGGGGCGUGGCUUCCGGAGCUAACGCGUUAAGUCGACCGCCUGGGGAGUACGGCCGCAAGGUU
RNAcentral lists this ribosomal RNA (369 nucleotides) under uncultured bacterium. RNAcentral describes it as "bacterial SSU rRNA". It matches the Rfam family "Bacterial small subunit ribosomal RNA", at positions 527 to 895 of the family's 1533-position model. The record is from RNAcentral.